Molecule: unclassified non-coding RNA, 205 nt
Filed under: Hevea brasiliensis (rubber tree)
Lineage: Eukaryota; Viridiplantae; Streptophyta; Magnoliopsida; Malpighiales; Euphorbiaceae
Source: RNAcentral
AAAGUGUGUUAUUGAAUAUGCUUGAGUUUAUAGGCAUCAAAAUAAAAAUAAAUAAUUUGAAAUUUUCUUUUGCUCUUUAAAGUAUAAAUACUCGGAAGAAAUAAAAAUUUUAAUUAAUUGAAAAAAAUUGGUUGAGAAUUUAAGAUAAAUUUAUUUUUGGCUCUUAUAAAUUUUGCUUUUUGAAAUAUUGAGUUAAUGGGCUUCA